UCUUCGAUUUUGGAGCAAGCAAUCUUGUUAUGAGUGUUUUCUCGAAUGUGAGUAAAGGUUGGGCAUGUUUGCUAGUCUACCUUGCCACGAAGCACAAAGGUUGACACACAGGGACUUUCCAAUUAUCCAGCAAUGGUACUGUUCCUUUACCCUCUUCAAUUUUUGAGAAAGUAGUCAUGUUGGGAGUCUGGCCCUCGAGAUGCGGAGGACGGUGGAUUUUGGAGCAAGCAAUCUGAUUGGGAGUGUUUUCUCGAAAGUGAGUAAAGGUUGGGCAUGUUUGCUAGUCUACCUUGCCACGAAGCACAGAGGUUGACACACGGGGACUUUCCAAUUAUCCAGCAGUGGUACUGUUCCUUUACCCUUGUGGGUAAUAAUAUGGUAGCUAGACCUUCAAAAUUUAUGUGUCUAAACUUUGUUAGUGCUGUUUCUUUGCUAUUCUUUUAACCUUCUUGGUCAGAGCGAUGUAGUGGGAGCUGCAAGCUUCACGUGCUCAACUUUGGCAGAGAACUUUGGCAAAGUUAUCUGUGGUACCUAUGAGCUAUUGUUGCGUGUGGGAAGUGGGUGAUUGAACAGUAAGAUUCAUGUGCUUUCUACUUCACCAGAAGUCUUCGACAGAAUGCCCAUAAUUUCCGCAAAGUUGAGUGUGCGUGUGACAGGUGCUGACAAGGCUGGAAAAGUAGGCGCCUCUUCGAUUUCUGAGAUCGGCCCUCGUGGUCUCUGAGCAGCCCAGCUUUUG
Molecule: long non-coding RNA, 736 nt
Filed under: Malus domestica (apple)
Lineage: Eukaryota; Viridiplantae; Streptophyta; Magnoliopsida; Rosales; Rosaceae
Description: long non-coding RNA (MDOM_LNC004945)
Source: RNAcentral